CUGGACUCACAGGCCUCCCUUCCACUCACAGCUUUUUGAAGUAGCUCUGUGGACUUACACCAGAGAGAUGAAAAGCUGAAAUCCAGCUGCCGUUCAUUCCUGCUUUGAGAUUAGGAAAGGUAGAGCUGAAUUUGGGCUAUGUUACUCAGAAGCUUUUCCCCAGCUGAUGGAGGCCUGCCCUGGAGGUGCUCAGCUCCAUCUCUGCUGUCCAGGCUGUGAGCAAGAACACCUAAGGAAAGCCAGCAGCCUCCUUCACUCUCCCUCCCCAUCCAUUCAGGUACAGGCCACAAGUCUGCAGCAUCUCACUACAAAAUCAGCACAGAGGCAGUGAUCACACCACGAUGAAAAAAAAAAAAAUAGAUUAAAAAGAGAGGAAAAAAUCAGCUGCUAGAACAAAAGCCAAACAGAAAUGUGUUCCUUAAAUUAUUAGUAGUGUAUUAGAGGUGAUUUAGCACUCACAUGGCCAUUCCUACAACUGCAGAGACCCUGCAACAUAUCUUAUUCCCUUUGUAAUGCGGAUGGCACUGAGAUUGCUCUCAUCUUCUGGGCUUAUAAGCAAAUAUAUUUAAUUUGGAUGUAAUACAGCCAGGAGGGUGAUUUCUCCAGAUGGCGAUUUAAGCAACAGAUCAAGAGAUGAAUUAAGCACCUCAUUCCUUCAGAUUUUAGGAGAUCUGCAGGUGCCAGGGAUCCUGCCUCCAGCUUGGGUCCAGGGUAAAUUUCGGCCAAGAUGAAGCCUCUUAUUGGCUGCAUGAAUUCUAGCCUCCUUCAUUAACAUGAAGAGUGCCGUGCUCCCCGCUGUCUUAGGAGUUACAGAACAUUUAAAAGAUGAUUUGCGGACAGAUUAAGGACUUCAGAAGGAGAGAUGACACCAGACCUAGGUCUUGCAGAUGCAAACUCCUGUCAAGUGUGAGAGGAGGGGGAGUAUUAUCCACCAGUGGCAGAUAGGCUGGGCAUCUGGGCAGAAUGAUAAGAGCUGUGGCCCUGCAGCCAGUCCCUGCAUUUGCACCCUGAGUUUGCCAUGAGCUGUGUGACCUUAGUCAAGUUUCUCAACCUCUCUGUGCCUCAGCUUCCUUCUCUGAAAAAUGGGGAUCGUGUUUUGCACACAGCCCGACACACAGCAAAUAUUCAGUGACUGCUGCCGCUUUCUGCCAUGGCUAAAGGUGGUGUUGUGGUUUUCCUUCCAGGUUUUUAUGCUUUAAUUUCCUAACUGUUCCUGCAUUACUUCACAGUUGAUGACGUGUGGGGCCAAGCUCUUGGCACACGUGAGCACAGUGGAUAUUCAAGGAGCGUUAACUCGGGUCCAUUUUUCUUUCCAUCAAACACAGCCUCCUGGUAAAAGAGCCAUUCAGGAUGCCUGGAGGAGCCCAGAUUUCAAAUCUGAUGAAGUCUGCAGUUCUAUAAAUUCCCUCCCUCUUUUGUGCUGAUGGCAACGACUUUUAUAUGUAUUUUCAUGUCUUUCUCUCCAGAGAUAAAUUUUGUGGCCUGCCACUGAAUCUGCUUCCUAAAAUGUAGCUUGGAGAUUUUAUUUGAGAUAAACUAUCAUGUGAAUAAAUAUAGAUACUAUAUUUUAAUCUGGGAGCGUUCCAUUUGGAACCUUUUUUUUUUUUUAAAGUCAACAUUAGUGGUGCCGUCAUUCAAAGGAUAUGGACGUUUGGGGGAAAUUUACAUCCAACUGUGACUGAGAACCUUUUGCCAGGAUAAUAUCUGUUUCUCUGAAAAUGACAAUGGCUAUGGACGUAAAGCAUGAUCUCAGAUGGCAGUCCCGAAAUCAGGAAGGUCCAUUUCAACACAUCUCCUGGCCCCUGUGGCAAGCUACAAUGCUGGUAUGCUCGCAUGGUAGGGUCUCUGCCUUGCAGGUAACACGUGUCCAUCUGAGAAUAGUAAAGGAGGUUCAUUUGUUUAUGUGCUGGUGGUGCUGAGGAGUUUCACAGAGGCUGGAAAACAGGGGCUGGCAAUUGAUUCCCCCCAGAGCCCUCCGUUUCACAUUGCCCCACCCCAGAGACCAUGGGAGAUGAUCAUGGGAGAGGAAGGUAAACAUGCAUCAGUGGAGCGGGAGAGUGAAGGGGUGAAGAAACAGGAAACUGCGAUCACUGUGGGACGUUGCCCUUUUUUCAUGACCACGAAGAUGCAAAAUGCUGAGCCUUGUUAUUUCUGGCCCAGCUCUAGACCUACAAUCUGCUCACAUUGGUGAAGUGAAAGCACCUGCAGGAUUGAAUUUACCCAGUAGGUUAGGACCCUGCAUGCUCACGGAACCGCCCUACCCAUCCUGCCUCCCCACCUGGCUCUGCCUCCUAAAUGGAUAGAUACAUGCUGUUCUAAAGUUGGCCAAGCUCUAUAGUCUCCUUGGGAAAAUAACAACCUUAGAACAUGGGACAGCCCUGUACUCACAAAUUGAUGUCAUAGCCUAAGACAACCAAGGCAACAGAGGAUUCUCAAGAAGGUAGUGGAGGGGACAAAUAACUUCUACCUCAGGAGAUCAAAACGUGAAGCCACUGGUCACUAUUCUGCUGGCUUACACUGAUGUUUACUCACCAUGACAUAUUAAUGAAAGGCUUUUAAUGUCAGUCAUUUCAAUCACAAAUCCUUACAAAAUAAGCAAAGUGUUACUCUUGCUCCAUGAACAGGAUACAGAGAUUCCUGCUAAAAUCACCCCAAGCUCAACCCUGACCUCACCUGCUUUAAUUAUGCGUGAAGUAAGUCAAAUUCCUUUGCAACAAGCAGGCAUUCAUUAUCUAUAAUUCCUAUUUUAUAACUUUUUUGUUUGAUCUAUCCCAGAAUUCAUUCUGAAGAAAUUCAACAGAAUAAAUGAUCAUUUUCCCUGACCACUUGACUGCUGCUUUGAAUAUGUAAUGUGGCUACACAUGUAUAUUAUUUAUGAAAAAUUGAUUGCUGUAACAUCUCAAUAUUCCUUUCAUGCCCUGUGAAUGUGGACUUAAUACAUUUCCUCUGAAACCCACGACUGGCCUGCAGUACGUGACAAUGCCUUGGAGAGGCGAAUGGAUUUAUUGGUUUGGGCAGCCUGUCGUCUGUGCGGAAAUUAGGGAAUUCCUGCGCACAGUCGGCUCUCGCCUGCACGUCAGGAGCUUCAGCUGGCAUGGGGCGUGAUGACUGUGCUGGCCCAUAGGGCAGUCCCCAGUAAAUUUGGAGGACAAUAUAGACCAGCAUCCCAGCGUUUCUCUAAGGACCAUGGUCUAAAAACCACGCCCCGUGAGGGAGACCCGGGAUGCAGGGAUGCACACUUUCUCCAGCUCCCAGUCUGACUUGAGCCCUGCGGGGUAAGUAUCGGAUUCCUCCAGACGCAGAUCUUGAAACGACUGGGACGGACCCAAGUUGUUUCUUUAGGAGGCAAUUCCAGGCAGAAGUGGGAGAGGCGUGUGGAAAUGAGACAAGGAGGCCGCAGGGGCCAUGGGGAGAUACCACUGGGUGCUCUGGGACCAGAUCCUCCCUGCAGAGGAAGGAUCCCAUGUGUGAGGCCCCGUGUACAUCUUCCGCCUCCCAAGUGUCAUUGCACGGGCACGCACAGAGCCCAGGGUCCCUCUGCAUUCCCUGCCGUGAUGGUGGGGUGGGAGGAAGCCCUAGGGGCUGGGAGUCCCGGAGACCCAUAGAGGACAGAAAAGGACAUGAACUGGACCAGUGAAUACUGCGGGGACAGCGUCUGCAGCUGGGAGGCGUUCCUGAGAGUUUACAAGUCCAUCACCGCCCCGUCCCUCACGGCACACCCAGAGCCUGGGAGUCAAGCCAGAGUGGCUGUGCAAAGCCAUGCCUGCAAUCACUGUCGCUGUUUCUCUGGAAUCCAGAUGAAAAUGAUCUACAGGCAGGGAUGAGACUUGGGGCAGGAGAAUGGUUUGAGGACACAAAGCUCUGGUGUCCUGGUGAACAACAAGAUCUGGUCAACUGCUUUGCCUACAAGAACCUUCUGAAGAGCAAUUCUGGUGUUGGAUGUAUGAGAGAUUGAUGAAUUGUGAAUAAGAUGCACAGCAGGUAAAACAAAACGAAAACAGCCACAAGGGAGCUGUCCCCGCACCUCCACCACAAUGGCAGGGGCAGCAGCGAACCCAGCAAGGAUCCCCUGCCUGCAGUGGCUGCUCAGAGACUUGCGGCUGCCUCUGUCUGAAGGUCUGGCUACUGGAGGAGUUCUAGGAUGGGGAGGGGGGCCCAGGAUCAGGUCGAGCAUUCCUCACUGCUGGACCAGGCAUGAGGUAGCUCACACUUCUGCAGCCUGGAAAAAGAGUGGAUUUGGGCUGCGCACAUCCCUGGUGCCCAAAGCGUGGCCAGAAAGACAGCCCCUGUAUCACCUGGGAGCCUGUUAGAAAUCAGUCUCUGGUUGAGCCCCGGAUCGGAUGACUGGAAAUGUAUAUGUUAAUAAGGUCCCCAGGUGCUUCAUGCUCACAUGACAGUUUGAGAGACAGGGCACUGGCUACAGCUUCUGGCCCAGCUCUGCGUCUUUGGGGACUGAGUCAAGAGGAGCCCGCAUGGGCUUGGAGUUUCCCAUGGGCCUGACACGGCCUUGUUUCAUUUCAUUCACUAAAUGACGGUGCUUGGCAGGAGCACCACCGUCCACCUCUUACAGAUGAGCUCAGAGCUGCCUCAUGAUGUGCUCAGAUGCGUUCUGCAGCAGUCGGUGUGGACAUGGGGCAGCUGCCUCUGCAGUGCACCCAACUCACACCAGACUCUCCUGCCCUCGAUCCCAUGGGAGGUCCAAAUGGCCCCGUCCAAAGAGUGACCCCAGGCCACAGAGCAGCCCAAUCUUGUCCAAUUUGGAUGAUUCUAGGAAGAUUUCCAAACAAGAAAAAAAAAUGUUUCGAACCCAAACUGAAGGAGAUGGCAAAAGACACAAAGUAAUGAAGUGGGAGCCAAAAUGGUUUUCUUUUCCUCCACUGAAUAUUUUUCAUGUGGUAUCGGAUGUUCUUUAAAGGUCAAAUGUUACUAUUGCUCAUUUCCUCCUCAGCUAAUCAAGUAUUACGCAGUGGCUUAAGGUCACAAGCGUGAGUUACUGAUGAAAAUAAAAGCCUGUUCUUGAUUUUGUAAGGGAAACACAUGAUUUGAGUACACGCCUGUAGAAACUACUUUAUGUUCAGGGCAAGCAUGUUCCGCACGUAUUUGAAUUUGGGCAGAUGAUG
Molecule: long non-coding RNA, 5120 nt
Filed under: Homo sapiens (human)
Lineage: Eukaryota; Metazoa; Chordata; Mammalia; Primates; Hominidae
Description: HSALNT0402226
Source: RNAcentral